RNAcentral lists this ribosomal RNA (2820 nucleotides) under Mycobacterium tuberculosis str. Haarlem/NITR202. RNAcentral's name for it is "23S ribosomal RNA". Lineage: Bacteria; Bacillati; Actinomycetota; Actinomycetes; Mycobacteriales; Mycobacteriaceae. The record is from RNAcentral.
GUGCUCGGUGGCCCGGUCACGCUGGCGCUGCGGGUGCUGCCGGUAACGGGUGAUGGACGGCCGCCGGGGGCUCGCGAAUGGCUGACCUGGCUGSUGCACUCCCCGGGKGRCAAMUUUYCUGUCGCACCCGAUCACCGCAUUCGUCCUCUUUGUGGCCUCGCCCUAUAUCGUCUAUUUCACACCGCUGUUCGAUACCUUCGUCCGCUAUCACUGGGGCCACGAGUUCAUGGCGAUCCAUUUCCUGGUGGUCGGGUACUUGUUCUACUGGGCGAUCAUCGGCAUCGACCCAGGGCCGCGCCGACUGCCCUACCCGGGCCGGAUCGGGCUGUUGUUCGCGGUGAUGCCGUUCCACGCCUUCUUCGGGAUCGCGCUGAUGACGAUGUCGUCUACGGUGGGCGCUACGUUCUAUCGUUCCGUCAAUCUGCCGUGGUUGUCGAGCAUCAUCGCCGACCAGCAUCUCGGCGGUGGAAUUGCUUGGAGCCUAACGGAAUUGCCGGUCAUCAUGGUCAUCGUGGCGCUGGUUACCCAAUGGGCGCGCCAAGACCGCCGAGUCGCGUCCCGCGAAGACCGGCAUGCCGACAGCGACUACGCCGACGACGAGCUGGAAGCCUACAACGCGAUGCUUCGCGAGUUGUCGCGAAUGCGGCGCUGAAUGUGCAGAUGAUUUUGGAAGCGGUUGGCGUAUCUGCCCGUGCUCGGCUACACCAGGACCGCGGGGCGCUGGCACGCGAACGAUCCGGCGAGGAGGUGGGCCAGCCGGAGAUUCCCUCCACAGGCUGCAGCAGAAGUCCUGGAUCUGACCCCGACCUGAACCCUUGUCAGUGCGGUCCAUCGACGGAAAAUUGCUGUUCCGCCAUGCUGGGCAUGCUAUUGAGCGCCAAAAUUGCGUAGCCGCAAGCUGUUUGACACGACGAAAAAUGACGAGAACGCCAUGGCGGCACCGGCGAUCAAAGGGUUGAGCAGUCCGGCGGCGGCAAUCGGGAUGGCUGCGACGUUGUACCCGAACGCCCAGAUCAUGUUCAUCCGGAUCGUCCGCAUGGUUGCACGGGCCAGGUCCAGCGCCUGCGGAACAGUAUUCAGAUCAUCGCGCACCAGAAUGAUGUCGGCUGCACCGAGCGCGACGUCGGUGCCACGCCCGAUCGCCAACCCCAAGUCGGCACCCACCAACGCGGGACCGUCGUUGAUGCCGUCACCGACCAUGGCGACGGKAUGUCCUUCCUCGCGGAGCCGUUGGAUCACGUCGACCUUGCCUUCGGGCAGCAUAUCGGCGACAGCGGAGUCGAUGCCGACCUGCGCCGCCACCGCGUCGGCGGCGGCCCGAUUGUCGCCGGUGAGCAGAAUCGUCCGCAGCCCGCGGCUGCGUAGCGCAGCGACGGCGGCAGCCGCUGAAUCCUUGAGGGUGUCGGCGAUUGUCAGGGCUGCGCGGACGACACCGUCGACCGACACAAAAACGACAGUCUCGCCUCGGGAUUCGCCGUCCAGGCGCGCGGACACCAGAGCCGCGUCGUGGCAGGGCGUGGUCCGGGUAAUCCAGGAUGGCUUGCCGACCUCAACGUGAUGGCCGCCGACUUCCCCCGAUACACCGCAGCCCGCGACGGCGACAAACCCGUUGWCUGGACCCGGAUCCGGCGAAGCGGCAACGAUGGCCGCCGCCAUCGCAUGCUCGGAAGCCGAUUCGACAGCGGCGGCGAGGSCAAGCACUUCCUCGCGAUCUCGCUCGCUGGUGCCUGAACCUGCCAUUGUUACGGUGCUCACCGCCAGCUGCCCAACCGUCAACGUGCCGGUCUUGUCGAACACCACGGUGUCGAUGCUCCGGAUGGUUUCCAGUGCCCGGUACCCCUUGAUAAAGAUCCCUAGCUGCGCUCCCCGUCCGGAAGCAACCAUCAUGGCGGUAGGUGUCGCGAGCCCAAGCGCACACGGGCACGCGAUCACCAACACCCCUAGCGUGACCGAGAACGCGCGAUCCGCGCCUGCGCCGCUGACGAGCCAGGCCGCACCUGCAAGUCCAGCAAUGACGAAAACCACCGGCACGAACACGCCCGCGAUGUGGUCGGCGAGGCGCUGGGCACGCGCCUUCUGCGUCUGGGCUUGCUCCACGAGGCGGACCAUCGCGGCGAACUGGGUAUCGGCCCCUACCGCGGUGGCCUCGAUGACCAGGCGGCCGUCCAUCACGACCGUGCCCCCCACGACCGAGGCCGCCGGAUAGGCACGGACCGGCUUGGCCUCACCGGUCAUGGCGCUCAUAUCGAUCGCCGCGCUGCCGUCGACAACGACUCCGUCAGCUGCGAUGGUUUCCCCCGGCCGCGUCACGAAGCGCUGGCGCUUCUUGAGUUCGCUCGCCGGUAUCACUAGCUCCGCGCCGUCGGGCAGCAGCACCGCCACAUUCUUGGCGCCUAGCUCCGCCAGCGCMCGCAGCGCGCUGCSGGCCUUGGACUUGGCUCUGUGACUUCAMAGUAACGACCGGCAAGAACGAAGACGGUCACACCGGCCGCGACCUCGAGGUAGAUCGAGUCGCUGUUGAGAAUGGCCCGCCAGAUUCCCGAGCCUUCCCGUGGSGGCUGAUCGCCGAAGRCGGRCGAAAGCGACCAGGCGGUGGCGGCSRCUGMUCUUCCGAYCKAGAUCAGCGUUUCCAUGGAUGUCGUCCGGUGGCGCGCGUUUCGCAGCRCGWCYGAGUGGAAGGGCCAUKCGGCCCAGGUCACAACCGGAGCGGCCAGGGCCGAUCAAUAUGUAUCCCCAGCCGGGAACCCUGGCGCUGGGGACGAUCGCGAACAACGUCGACAGGUCAGCCAGVGGCMCGAACAACMCCGCCGCGACUAGCAG